RNAcentral lists this ribosomal RNA (488 nucleotides) under soil fungal sp. DM245. Its description in RNAcentral is "eukaryotic LSU rRNA". It matches the Rfam family "Eukaryotic large subunit ribosomal RNA", at positions 149 to 658 of the family's 3401-position model. Lineage: Eukaryota; Fungi. The record is from RNAcentral.
UUUGCAGAGGAUGCUUUUGGCGCGGUGCCUUCUGAGUUCCCUGGAACGGGACGCCGGAGAGGGUGAGAGCCCCGUACAGUUGGACACCAAGCCUUUGUAAAGCUCCUUCGACGAGUCGAGUAGUUUGGGAAUGCUGCUCAAAAUGGGAGGUAAAUGCCUUCUAAAGCUAAAUACCGGCCAGAGACCGAUAGCGCACAAGUAGAGUGAUCGAAAGAUGAAAAGCACUUUGAAAAGAGGGUUAAACAGUACGUGAAAUUGUUGAAAGGGAAGCGCUCGUGACCAGACUUGCGCCCGGCGGAUCAUCCGGCCUUCUGGCCGGUGCACUCCGCCGGGCUCAGGCCAGCAUCGGUUUUCCUGGGGGGACAAAAGCGGCGGGAACGUAGCUCCUCCGGGAGUGUUAUAGCCCGCCGCAGCAUACCCCCGGGGGGACCGAGGACCGCGCUUCGGCAAGGAUGCUGGCGUAAUGGUCACCAGCGACCCGUCUUGAA